RNAcentral lists this non-coding RNA (207 nucleotides) under Rhizobium sp. Lineage: Bacteria; Pseudomonadati; Pseudomonadota; Alphaproteobacteria; Hyphomicrobiales; Rhizobiaceae. The record is from RNAcentral. RNAcentral also lists the same sequence under 1 other name.
GCUUACUUGGAAGAAGACGGUCCUUUUCCGGCAACGGGGAAGGCCAAGAGGGAAUGCGGUGAGACCUCGAGCAGGGUCAAAGCCGCGGCUGCCCCCGCAACUGUAAGCGGAGAGCCCGGGCCAAAAAGCCACUGGAGAGAUCCGGGAAGGCGGGCCAGACGGCGAAGACCCGCGAGCCAGGAGACCUGCCGUCAAAGACAUCAUGCU